AUUCCAGCUCCAAUAGCGUAUAUUAAAGUUGUUGCAGUUAAAAAGCUCGUAGUUGGAUUUCUGGUAGGAGCGACCGGUCCGCCCUGUUAAGGGUGUGUACUAGCGUUGUCUCUGGCCAUCCUUGGGGGAACUGCGCGGGGAGACUUGCGUUAGGGAACCCAUCGUUUACUGUGAAAAAAUUAGAGUGUUUAAAGCAGGCUUAUGCCGUUGAAUACAUUAGCAUGGAAUAAUAAGAUAGGACCGCGUGGUCGUCUUGUUGGUUUGCACCGCGAGGUAAUGAUUAAUAGGUACAGUUGGGGGUAUUCGUAUUUAAUUGUCAGAGGUGAAAUUCUUGGAUUUAUGAAAGACGGACUUCUGCGAAAGCAUUUACCAAGGAUGUUUUCAUCG
This 387-nucleotide ribosomal RNA is filed under the name Stramenopiles sp. MAST-1B. Its description in RNAcentral is "partial small subunit ribosomal RNA". It matches the Rfam family "Eukaryotic small subunit ribosomal RNA", at positions 582 to 975 of the family's 1831-position model. The record is from RNAcentral.